GUAACAAGGUUUCCGUAGGUGAACCUGCGGAAGGAUCAUUACCAGACCAAGACCACAUCCAGGAAACACGGCAGGGCGUGGGGUAGCCCGUCCGCAUUCGCGCCUCCCGGGACUGGCGGGGGCCCGAGACCCAAGGGAGCGGGGUUGGAGCGCCCGAAUCGGCUAACACCCGAGGAGGCGCGCUCGCCCGGCGCCCGUCCCCUUCACCGCCGGGAGGCCAGUUUCCAACGCCAGCUCUCUGAGUACAUCUCCACUGUUGCUUCCCCGGGGGUUCAUUCUCCCCCGGGGAAGGUCCCCGAGCAAGACGCGGCCGCCAAACCCACCGGCUGCCCCUCCGUCUGACGGCCAGCGCGCCGCUGAUGAAGCGGCAGCGACCGACGAAGCUAGAACUAGGAAAAGGAAGAAAACUUUCAACAACGGAUCUCUUGGUUCCCGCAUCGAUGAAGAACGCAGCGAAAUGCGAUAAGUAAUGUGAAUUGCAGAAUUCAGUGAAUCAUCGAAUCUUUGAACGCACAUUGCGCCCCCUGGCAUUCCGGGGGGCAUGCCUGUUCGAGCGUCUCUGUGAAGAACACCCUCGCGCACGGUGGAUGCGCGGUCUUGGCGGCGGUGGCGUGCCCGACGCGGCGGCCACCGGGCUGGAAUGAAUGGGCGGACGCCUGCCGCGUGGCCGAGCGUGAUAAGGCGAAGGUGCGCCGGCGCUGCGGCGAGGCUGCCAGCCCUCGCCCGUCCUCGUUCGGACGGGAGAGAGGAAGACAUCGGAACUCCUCGAAUCAGGCAGUAACCGACA
Molecule: ribosomal RNA, 787 nt
Filed under: Helvella spadicea
Lineage: Eukaryota; Fungi; Ascomycota; Pezizomycetes; Pezizales; Helvellaceae
Description: eukaryotic LSU rRNA
Rfam family: 5.8S ribosomal RNA (bases 406-559)
Source: RNAcentral